RNAcentral lists this ribosomal RNA (254 nucleotides) under uncultured bacterium. RNAcentral's name for it is "partial 16S ribosomal RNA". It matches the Rfam family "Bacterial small subunit ribosomal RNA", at positions 524 to 776 of the family's 1533-position model. The record is from RNAcentral.
CACGUAGGCACCAAGCGUUGUCCGGAUUUAUUGGGCGUAAAGAGCUCGUAGGCGGUUCGGUAAGUCGGGUGUGAAAACUUUGGGCUCGACCCAAAGCCUGCACUCGAUACUGCUGUGACUUGAGUCCGGUAGGGGAGUGGGGAAUUCCUGGUGUAGCGGUGGAAUGCGCAGAUAUCAGGAGGAACACCGGUGGCGAAGGCGCCACUCUGGGCCGGUACUGACGCUGAGGAGCGAAAGCGUGGGGAGCGAACAGG